GAUAUGGUAGGAGAGCGUUCUGUAAGCCUGCGAAGGUGUCUUGUAAAGGAUGCUGGAGGUAUCAGAAGUGCGAAUGCUGACAUGAGUAGCGAUAAUGGGGGUGAAAAGCCUCCACGCCGUAAGCCCAAGGUUUCCUGUUCAACGUUCAUCGGAGCAGGGUGAGUCGGCCCCUAAGGCGAGGCAGAGAUGCGUAGCUGAUGGGAAGCAGGUUAAUAUUCCUGCACCGUCGUAUGAUGCGAUGGGGGGACGGAUCGCGGAAGGUUGUCUGACUGUUGGAAUAGUCAGUUUCUGUCUCAUAGAAGGCGCUUAGGCAAAUCCGGGCGCGGAAUUCAAGGGGAUGGGACGAGUGAACUUGUUCACGAAGCAAUCGGAAGUGGUUCCAAGAAAAGCCUCUAAGCUUCAGUCAUACGAGACCGUACCGCAAACCGACACAGGUGGGCGAGAUGAGUAUUCUAAGGCGCUUGAGAGAACUCGGGAGAAGGAACUCGGCAAAUUGGUACCGUAACUUCGGGAAAAGGUACGCCCCGGUAGCUUGACCACUUUACUGUGGAAGGGUGAAAGGGUUGCAAUAAACUGGUGGCUGCGACUGUUUAAUAAAAACACAGCACUCUGCAAACACGAAAGUGGACGUAUAGGGUGUGACGCCUGCCCGGUGCUGGAAGAUUAAAUGAUGGGGUGCAAGCUCUUGAUUGAAGUCCCAGUAAACGGCGGCCGUAACUAUAACGGUCCUAAGGUAGCGAAAUUCCUUGUCGGGUAAGUUCCGACCUGCACGAAUGGCGUAACGAUGGCCACACUGUCUCCUCCCGAGACUCAGCGAAGUUGAAAUGUUUGUGAUGAUGCAAUCUACCCGCGGCUAGACGGAAAGACCCCAUGAACCUUUACUGUAGCUUUGCAUUGGACUUUGAACCAAUCUGUGUAGGAUAGGUGGGAGGCUUUGAAGCGGGGACGCUAGUUCUCGUGGAGCCAACCUUGAAAUACCACCCUGGUUUGUUUGAGGUUCUAACCUUGGUCCGUUAUCCGGAUCGGGGACAGUGCAUGGUAGGCAGUUUGACUGGGGCGGUCUCCUCCUAAAGUGUAACGGAGGAGUUCGAAGGUACGCUAGAUACGGUCGGACAUCGUGUUGAUAGUGCAAUGGCAUAAGCGUGCUUAACUGCGAGACUGACAAGUCGAGCAGGUACGAAAGUAGGACAUAGUGAUCCGGUGGUUCUGUAUGGAAGGGCCAUCGCUCAACGGAUAAAAGGUACUCUGGGGAUAACAGGCUGAUUCCUCCCAAGAGUUCAUAUCGACGGGGGAGUUUGGCACCUCGAUGUCGGCUCAUCACAUCCUGGGGCUGUAGCCGGUCCCAAGGGUAUGGCUGUUCGCCAUUUAAAGUGGUACGUGAGCUGGGUUUAAAACGUCGUGAGACAGUUUGGUCCCUAUCUGCCGUGGGCGUUGGAAAUUUGAAGGGGGCUGCUCCUAGUACGAGAGGACCGGAGUGGACGAACCUCUGGUGUACCGGUUGUCACGCCAGUGGCAUUGCCGGGUAGCUAAGUUCGGAAGAGAUAACCGCUGAAAGCAUCUAAGCGGGAAACUUGCCUUGAGAUGAGAUUUCCCAGAGCCUUGAGCUCUUUGAAGGGUCGUUCGAGACCAGGACGUUGAUAGGCUGGGUGUGGAAGUGCAGUAAUGCAUUAAGCUAACCAGUACUAAUUGCCCGUACGGCUUGUCCCUAUAACCUUAGCAGGU
Molecule: ribosomal RNA, 1722 nt
Filed under: Janthinobacterium sp. BJB1
Lineage: Bacteria; Pseudomonadati; Pseudomonadota; Betaproteobacteria; Burkholderiales; Oxalobacteraceae
Description: bacterial LSU rRNA
Rfam family: Bacterial large subunit ribosomal RNA
Source: RNAcentral